This 253-nucleotide ribosomal RNA is filed under the name uncultured bacterium. RNAcentral's name for it is "partial 16S ribosomal RNA". It matches the Rfam family "Bacterial small subunit ribosomal RNA", at positions 524 to 776 of the family's 1533-position model. The record is from RNAcentral.
UACAGGGGGGGCAAGCGUUGUUCGGAAUUACUGGGCGUAAAGGGCGUGUAGGCGGCCAACUAAGUCCGACGUGAAAUCCCCAGGCUUAACCUGGGAACUGCGUCGGAUACUGGAUGGCUUGAAUCCGGGAGAGGGAUGCGGAAUUCCAGGUGUAGCGGUGAAAUGCGUAGAUAUCUGGAGGAACACCGGUGGCGAAGGCGGCAUCCUGGACCGGCAUUGACGCUAAAGCGCGAAAGCGUGGGUAGCAAACAGG